CAGCUCUGAAUUCUGGGUCAACCGUGGACCGACUGUGACCCUUCGGGCAAGUCCCUUCGCCUCUCUGGAGCUGGCUCAUAAGAGGGAAAAGGAACCCCUGUGGGGAGGGUCUAUUUAUCCUGGCGAAGAUUGCCUGAAGUGAUCUUCUAACAGGAGCGUUUCCAGAGGAGGGGCUGGGCUGGGAGAGGUGUGGACAGCUGGGGACCGCUCUGAGCAGUGCAGCCCCGGGCGCCCCACACCACCACGUGGUCUGGGGAGGAAGAAUGUCUGCCACACACUCUGGUGCUCUGUGGGGACCACCUGUCACUCCAAGCUGGAUGCAGCCGUGGACGGCACCCGGUGUGGGGAGAAUAAGUGGUGUCUCAAUGGGGAGUGCAUACCUGUGGGCUUCCAGCCCGAGGCCAUGGAUGGUGGCUGGUCUGGCUGGAGCGCCUGGUCCAUCUGCUCACGGAGCUGUGGCGUGGGCAUACAGAGAGCCAAGCAGCAGUGCCUGCAGCCUAUGUGAGUGUGGGGCCCAGGGUGCCCUGGGCAAUGGGACAG
Molecule: long non-coding RNA, 540 nt
Filed under: Pan troglodytes (chimpanzee)
Lineage: Eukaryota; Metazoa; Chordata; Mammalia; Primates; Hominidae
Description: lncRNA (ENSPTRG00000054177.1)
Source: RNAcentral